GAGGCGAACCGGGGGAACUGAAACAUCUAAGUACCCCGAGGAAAAGAAAUCAACCGAGAUUCCGAAAGUAGCGGCGAGCGAAAUUGGACUAGCCCUUAAGCUUUACACGCGUUAGACGAACGGUCUGGAAAGUCCGACGAUACAGGGUGAUAGUCCCGUAGUUGACGACGUGUGUUCAGUGAAAUCGAGUAGGGCGGGACACGUGAUAUCCUGUCUGAAUAUGGGGGGACCAUCCUCCAAGGCUAAAUACUACUGACUGACCGAUAGUGAACCAGUACCGUGAGGGAAAGGCGAAAAGAACCCCUGUGAGGGGAGUGAAAUAGAACCUUAUUCAGUGGCAAGGUUAACCAUCUAGGGGAGCCGUAGGGAAACCGAGUCUUAACUGGGCGUUCAGUCUCUGGAUAUAGACCCGAAACCAGGUGAUCUAGCCAUGGGCAGGUUGAAGGUUGAGUAACA
This 456-nucleotide ribosomal RNA is filed under the name Vibrio parahaemolyticus. RNAcentral describes it as "partial 23S ribosomal RNA". It matches the Rfam family "Bacterial large subunit ribosomal RNA", at positions 176 to 761 of the family's 2925-position model. Lineage: Bacteria; Pseudomonadati; Pseudomonadota; Gammaproteobacteria; Vibrionales; Vibrionaceae. The record is from RNAcentral.